UCUCCGUUGGUGAACCAGCGGAGGGAUCAUUAUCGAGUUUAUAACUCCCAAACCCUAUGUGAACUUACCACUUGUUGCUUCGGCGCGCGCUUCGGUGCCGCCGAGGAUACUUAAACUCUUUGUUUUUAUAAGCAUUUCUGAGUGGCCGAAAGGCAAAAUACAAAUGAAUCAAAACUUUCAACAACGGAUCUCUUGGUUCUG
This 201-nucleotide unclassified non-coding RNA is filed under the name plant metagenome. RNAcentral describes it as "partial contains small subunit ribosomal RNA, internal transcribed spacer 1, and 5.8S ribosomal RNA". The record is from RNAcentral.